This 3515-nucleotide long non-coding RNA is filed under the name Setaria viridis. RNAcentral describes it as "long non-coding RNA (SVIR_LNC000016)". Lineage: Eukaryota; Viridiplantae; Streptophyta; Magnoliopsida; Poales; Poaceae. The record is from RNAcentral.
CCUAUGUCCUCAAUUUUAUCAUUCUGACCACAGGAAUCGAUGACGCCUAUCGAAAUCCAAAAACGGCUAAUCUCUAAGCUAUCAAACUUAUAAUCCUCAGGAAAAAGGCCACAAUAUGAAAAGCAUUUUUGUAGAUGGAAGGGAAGGUAGUCAUAGCUAAUUUUCAAGGCUGGCAUAAAUCAUGAAGGAACCAUGAAGGAUCAUAAAUCAGAAGCACAAUGAUUUGCUGCAGAAAAGAGCCAUAGUUGAACGACUGGUCAUCAGUAUGUAGCCGGGCAAGUACAAUUAUAUUUGGCUUUGUUUCCCUUCAUUUUUCAUUUUUGGCAUGCUCCAUAAACUUCGUAGUAACAACUAGCUUUGAUUAGCCAGUGUAGUGAAUCGGGCAGGCUCUUCCUUGGCAACGACAUGAAUUUAGGAGAGCUAGUGACAUUUAUUUCUUCAAGAGGCAGAAAGGUGAGGCAAUCCGUGAGGGAGGGAUUGCAUAACUGAAUGUUUGACUCGGUAUUGUUCGUCCUGACUUUUCAGAGCUGUCGCUUGCUCGCUUGCAGAAGCAGAAAGUCAGCUUUGGUGGUCUGGACGGACCACAGUAGUUGCUGCAGAAAUAAGCACAGAUGUUCAGCGGUUACCUCGUCAAUCUUUCUUAGUAGUGAAUCAGGGAAUCAGGGAGGCCCUUCUUAAUUUCUGGCAUUCCUCAUAAAGCUCGGCGGAGCAAUCAUAUACGCGUAACUCUUGCAGUGAAUCAGGGAGGCCCUUCUUGGGCAGCGAUCUGAUUCUAGGAGAUCCACUUAUACGUAAAUUCCCGAGAGAAGAAAGGCAAUGCAGCCCUCGAGGGAUGGACAGCAGCACCCUGCAGCUAAUAAACUGCAGCUUUUGCAGGGAUGUGAGGAGCUGAAGGGCCUGCUCCUGCUCUUCCGUGAAGCUCUCCACCCGCCAAUCACAAACGAAGAUUAAUACCCGGAGGGUAGCGGAGAUGCGGGUGCAGAUGGGAGCAACAAGCACUGCGGAGAUGCUGUCCACCACAAGUCGCACCAGUUGGAAGGAACCUGCGGGCAUUGUUUUGGUCCUUGCCACCUCUGCGAGUAGAUCCGCUGCUAUAGAAUAAGGAUCAGUUUCAUCAUGUCUCGAAUUACAAACCUUCAGACUAUCGAGGUUUGAUGUGAUGAGAGGAUUGAAACCAUCAAUUGUGAAAUUCUUACAAUCUCUUAGUUCUAGUUUGGUAAGAGAUAUCAGAUUUGAGAACAGAGCCAUCGACAGAGUGCUUGACUCAUUCCGAAGAUAGAGUUCCUCGACAUGAGGAGAGAAAGGACUGAUGCCUUGAGCUGCUUCUCCCGUGGACCACCGGGACAAUAGCAUGUUGCAAUCGUCUAUGGAAACUGAUUUGAGCGACAAGUGACUCUGGAAUCCACCUCCAUCUUCCAUAGGUAGAAUCAGAUUUUUACACCCAUACAACCGGACAUGUCUCAGGGAGCUGGAGGGUGGAACCUGCAAUACCACAACCUCAUCGUGAUGCUCACUUGAUGCACCCACAGACAAAUCAGAAAGAGCUGGGAAACAUUUGAACCAAUUUGAUAACGGUUUCCUGGUAACAAUAAAUUCCGAGAGGUGCAGAGAUUGGACUGAAUAGAGCACAAUGUCAUCAUCCAGUCCUCUAAGAAAUGUGUCCUUGCAUCUCAUAAGAUCAAUUCUUCGUAGGGGAUGUAGCUUUUGAAGGUCAGUAAAUGAGAUGAGUGAUGCAUCAGAAAUCAUCAAACGUUCUACUUCACCAAGAUUGUGGAAGGCCAAUUCACCGGGCAUCUUAUAAAUGGACAAAUAUCUGUUUUCAUAGCUCAAGCUGUCCGUUCGGAAAAAAGAUAGCAUGCGAGUGUGAGGAAGGGGAGGCAGGGACAACUUCGGGCAUUCUUGAGUGGAAAGAUAACAUAGAUUAGGGAACCAUAUGGUGUUGUCAUGUGUAGAAGAACUAGAGCACCUUGAGAACGGUAGGGCAGUGAGCUUUGGACAAUUAGAGCACCAGAUUCUUUCAAGCCUUGAGAACAAAUGUGUGUUACCUCCCCCAAUCCACUCCACAAGUUCUGGCAUAUGAUGAAGCUGAACCUCCUUAAGGUGCGUGAAACUUUUCUCUGUAAUGCCACCAAUGAAGUCAGGUCCAAACUGGCAUAUCCCAACAAUAUUUAUCAGACAGAGUUCUCUUAGAUGAUAUAGCUGCCCAAAAGGUGGAAGAGUGGACCAGGAUACACCUUCUAGAUGGAGGGUCUCCAAGUUUUUCAUGCGGAUGUUGCCACAUAGCCAACUAGGACCUGCGGGACCACCAUGAUUAACAAUGCGAAGAUCUCUAAGAUUAGAGUGUGGUUGGAGAUCAUCAAGAAUAUCAUCGACCUUCGACUGGUGCUCUCUACUCCAAAAUAAUCCCAGCUUAAUUAGAUCUCUUUUUGCCAUCAAUCUUGCUUCAGCAGCUUCUUUGCUGGAUCUCACAUUUUCAAGCCCACGUAUACUGAGUUCUCCUCCUAGCUGCACCAGCUGGCCCAACUCUCGUAGUUCAAAUCCAGCACUCUCUUUCUUAACAUCAAAUCCUUUCAACUCUUGUAGAAGCCUCAUUUUUCCAACCUCAGGAAUAUUGGUAUGGAAUUCUUUCCCAGCACCAAAAUGGCAUAAAUUCACAAGGCGGCUUAUGUCUUUAGGCAAAUCACACAUUCCACGCCAGUUUUGAAGGUCCAAAAAUUUCAAGUGAUAAAACCUAGAUACUAUUCUAGGACAGCACAGUUUUAGGUGACUCAAGUGAUAAUAAGGUGACUCAAGUUUUAGGUGCCGAAGGUGGAUAAGCUUUGAAAAGCUGGGUGGCAAAGAAUUUGCGUAGUUCAUGAAUAUAAACAGAACACGGAGGCCCUUUAUCUCCUUAAAUGUUUCUUUCAAAAUAUUCACCAAGCUUGCCCUUCUAUAUCCUCCAAAAAUCAUCAAACUCCGUAAAUUUCCAAUGUCUACCCUUCUCUUCAAUUUAUCCAUUUCUUCACCAAAAGUUUCAUUAUAGUCAUUGGACAUCAAGAUGGAUAGGUGGCGAAUAGAUGGUUGGACAUCAUCAGCUCUAAAACUAGAACAACUGAUAUAGGCACAUUCUUUUGAUGAAACAACCUGUGCAAGCUCAUGCAUCAAAUCAUGCAUUACAUAAUAAUUUUGAUCUCCUUUCAUCAGAAAACCAUUAUCUAACAGUUCAUCCAAAUACUUUGAACCUAUGUCCUCAAUUUUAUCAUUCUGACCACAGGAAUCGAUGAUGCCUAUCGAAAUCCAAAAACGGCUAAUCUCUAAGCUAUCAAACUUAUAAUCCUCAGGAAAAAGGCCACAAUAUGAAAAGCAUUUUUGUAGAUGGAAGGGAAGGUAGUCAUAGCUAAUUUUCAAGGCUGGCAUAAUAUCAUCAUUGUGGGUCUGGUUUAGCCACUCUUUCUUUUGAAGAAUUCCCAUCCAAUGUUCCCGAGAGAAUCUCUUCUUCAAUAAACGACCAACCGUUUUGGCUGCCAGUGGGGAGC